GGGGGGGUAGCUCAGUUGGGAGAGCGCUACGUUCGCAAUGUAGAGGUCGUGAGUUCGAUCCUCAUCCUCUCCACCA
RNAcentral lists this transfer RNA (76 nucleotides) under Rhodoferax sp. Its description in RNAcentral is "tRNA-Ala". It matches the Rfam family "tRNA". From Rfam's summary of the family: Transfer RNA (tRNA) molecules are approximately 80 nucleotides in length. Their secondary structure includes four short double-helical elements and three loops (D, anti-codon, and T loops). Further hydrogen bonds mediate the characteristic L-shaped molecular structure. tRNAs have two regions of fundamental functional importance: the anti-codon, which is responsible for specific mRNA codon recognition, and the 3' end, to which the tRNAs corresponding amino acid is attached (by aminoacyl-tRNA synthetases). tRNAs cope with the degeneracy of the genetic code in two manners: having more than one tRNA (with a specific anti-codon) for a particular amino acid; and 'wobble' base-pairing, i.e. permitting non-standard base-pairing at the 3rd anti-codon position. RNAcentral also lists the same sequence under 9 other names. Lineage: Bacteria; Pseudomonadati; Pseudomonadota; Betaproteobacteria; Burkholderiales; Comamonadaceae. The record is from RNAcentral.